AAGGAGUAAUCCCGGGAAACUGGGUGUAAUACUCCAUAUUCCAGGGGUACUGGAAUGUCUUUUGGAUGAAAGAUUAAUCGCUACAGGAUGAGUCUGCGACCGAUUAGGUAGUUGUUGGGGUAACGGCCCAACAAGCCUGUAAUCGGUACGGGUUGUGGGAGCAAGAGCCCGGAGAUGGAUUCUGAGACACGAAUCCAGGCCCUACGGGGCGCAGCAGGCGCGAAAACUUUACCAUGCGGGCAACCGUGAUAAGGAAACCCCGAGUGCCAGCACAGGCUGGCUGUCCACCAGUGUAAACAGCUGGUGAAGAAAGGGCCGGGCAAGACCGGUGCCAGCCGCCGCGGUAACACCGGCGGCUCGAGUGGUAACCGUUAUUAUUGGGUCUAAAGGGUCUGUAGCCGGCCGGAUAAGUCUCUUGGGAAAUCUGGCAGCUCAACUGUCAGGCUUUCAGGAGAUACUGUCUGGCUCGAGGCCGGGAGAGGUGAGAGGUACUUCAGGGGUAGGGGUGAAAUCUUGUAAUCCUUGAAGGACCACCAGUGGCGAAGGCGUCUCACCAGAACGGACCUGACGGCAAGGGACGAAAGCUAGGGGCACGAACCGGAUUAGAUACCCGGGUAGUCCUAGCCGUAAACGAUACUCGCUAGGUGUCGGCCACGGUGCGACCGUUGUCGGUGCCGUAGGGAAGCCGUGAAGCGAGCCACCUGGGAAGUACG
This 713-nucleotide ribosomal RNA is filed under the name uncultured archaeon. Its description in RNAcentral is "bacterial SSU rRNA". It matches the Rfam family "Archaeal small subunit ribosomal RNA", at positions 119 to 839 of the family's 1478-position model. The record is from RNAcentral.